This 253-nucleotide ribosomal RNA is filed under the name uncultured bacterium. Its description in RNAcentral is "partial 16S ribosomal RNA". It matches the Rfam family "Bacterial small subunit ribosomal RNA", at positions 524 to 776 of the family's 1533-position model. The record is from RNAcentral.
UACGUAGGGUGCGAGCGUUAAUCGGAAUUACUGGGCGUAAAGAGUGCGUAGGCGGUUGCGCAAGUCCGCUGUGAAAUCCCCGGGCUCAACCUGGGAAUGGCAGUGGAAACUAGGCGACUUGAAUCUGGCAGAGGGGGGUGGAAUUCCACGUGUAGCAGUGAGAUGCGUAGAGAUGUGGAGGAACACCGAUGGCGAAGGCAGCCCCCUGGGCUGAGAUUGACGCUCAGGCACGAAAGCGUGGGGAGCAAACAGG